Rhincodon typus (whale shark) is the source of this 492-nucleotide non-coding RNA. Lineage: Eukaryota; Metazoa; Chordata; Chondrichthyes; Orectolobiformes; Rhincodontidae. The record is from the annotation of a RefSeq genome assembly.
AUGUGGCUACUCAGCAUCUGGGGUGUUUGGGGAUCAAUGCUAAUAGACCUGAGUUAUGAAAAUUCUGUCACUCAGUCACUUUCCUCAGAUGUUCAUCCAGAAGGCGAGGUGGUGACUCUAAAUUGUACCUAUGAUACAACAUUGAGCUCCUACAGGUUAUAUUGGUACCGACGAUGUCCAGGCACGCAACCUGAAUAUAUAAUGAGGAAAAGUACUACUGGUAAUGAGAAAAAAGCAGAUUUUGCUAAAAGUCGCUUCUCUAUAGAACUUCAGAUCUCGAAGAAAUUCACCAGUUUGACUAUCACCGGUAUCCAUCUGACUGACACUGCUGUGUAUUACUGCGCGCUUCAGCACACAGUCGUGAUAAACAGCCUUUACCCCGACAUGAAGAUGGAGGUACGAUUAACAUUGAUUAUCCUCAUGCUCCUGAUUGGAAAUCAACUGGAUGAGUUACAGAUCAGUGCCUCUUGUGUGUCUCUGAGGAUCUACUGA